GUAUUUGAACAUCCUGUUUGCAAAUAUUGAACACUGCAGUAUGUUUCAAGUCAUUGCUUUCUGCAUAGGAAGCCAUCGUGUAUGGUACGAAUUGAUGUAAAAACACUUCAACCAGUUAUUGGAAACGUCAUUAUUUAACCUGAAGUGCAGUGUAACUCUGGAAAAAGAUCCUGAUGGUGCAGCGUGCUCAGAAUUCACAGUCGUUUCCUUACAUCCACAAGGGAGCUUUGUAUGACAAACGACCAAGACAGAUGAAUCUGUGAAAUAAAAAAUGCACUCAUUAAUAUGAUGGAUUAAUAUUGAUUGUAUUCAAUCAAAACAAUUCUGGAAAUCCAUUUGUGUAGAAAGAACAUAAUUCACUGGGCUUAUUAUUAACUUCAGGCUUUGUUAGAAAUACAGUCUGGGGUGAAUAGAUCAGCAACUUGAGCUGGUCCAUCAGCUACAGACUUUUACCAUGGAAUGGAAAAGGGUUGAUUGCUAGCUGUCAGACGAGUGACACCACAAGGAGCGGCUGGUAGAUCCACCGAAGUGUGGAGGAUGGUGAGGGGACAUCCACAGGGUCCCUCUGUUCCACAGCCUAAAGGGUGACGAGGCCGUUUGCUGCUGGGACGGACUGCAGCACAGAGGUUAGUGGCAGGUCAGUGUUGGUUGGCGGCCAAGUUUGAGCACCUGCAGGAAAGGGUUAUAAUCCUAUCAGUACUAGUUAACAUGCUAGUCGCCAUACUAGAAAGCAGUGGCACUGAUCUCAUGUUCCUCAUGUCUUGCUCCGGGCGAAGGACAGGUGUAAGUGAAAUAUUGUGAAGGUCACACCUAAAUAUCUCUUUCUAACACAGACUCUAUAAUAUGCACACACAGUGCCGCCUCAGGUACAUCGCAUUUGACUAAGACCGCACAAAGACACAUGGAGGAUGGGUCAAACGCUGUCAAAACUACGGACGUACACACGCUGUUGCAUCUGGGCACAGGUUCGGACAUGAUAGAGAAGGAAAUAGGGCAUCAGGGAAAAGAAAAGAGAGUGUGUUAGGGAGAGUGAGAGACCCCGGUCUGGGCCUUAAGCCUCCUCCGGAUUGCUCUGAUGUUGUUACUGGCAAGAGUUGAACACAGCCCUGCUCUGGGCUGCUCUAUGAUGUUGUUACUGGUAAGAGAAAGGAAGUAGGGCUUAAUUAAUUUGACAUUUGACUAUAACAGAUGAGACUUGAGGCGCCCCAUGAAGUAGAAAAAGCUAUGUCUGUUUUCAUUACAUAACAAAAUGUCUCAAAUAUGCAUUAACAAAAUACACUCAGAAUAGAAAUAAUAAUCGUAAAGGAUAUUAAAUGUGUGGGGAUGUGUGGGUAGCCUUGAUUAGUUAUAUGGAUGGGUCAAUGCUUUAUUUGGAAAUACGGCGAUUAGGG
Esox lucius (northern pike) is the source of this 1391-nucleotide long non-coding RNA. Lineage: Eukaryota; Metazoa; Chordata; Actinopteri; Esociformes; Esocidae. The record is from Ensembl.